AUGGGCGGUUGCUUCUCUUCGUCCGGGGAGUACGAGGAGUCGGCGGCGGCCGGGUACCGGCGGCCGCAGCGCGUGAGGCCGAGCGACCAGGACGGCAUCUACUACGUCGGCGAGCGGGACGUGGACAACAAGGCCGGCAUCUACAUCGCCAACUUCCACCGCUACCAGUCCGAGGUCGUGCCCAUGACGCCCGCGCCCUCCUCAGCCGCCGCCUGA
RNAcentral lists this ribosomal RNA (216 nucleotides) under Triticum aestivum (bread wheat). RNAcentral describes it as "partial small subunit ribosomal RNA". The record is from RNAcentral. Lineage: Eukaryota; Viridiplantae; Streptophyta; Magnoliopsida; Poales; Poaceae.